UCCCCAAUAGCUCAGUUGGUAGAGCGAUGGACAGUUAAUCCAUGUGUCACUGGUUCGAGCCCAGUUUGGGGAGCCA
This 76-nucleotide transfer RNA is filed under the name Colwellia sp. Its description in RNAcentral is "tRNA-Asn". It matches the Rfam family "tRNA". From Rfam's summary of the family: Transfer RNA (tRNA) molecules are approximately 80 nucleotides in length. The record is from RNAcentral. Lineage: Bacteria; Pseudomonadati; Pseudomonadota; Gammaproteobacteria; Alteromonadales; Colwelliaceae.